GAUGAAGAACGCAGCGAAAUGCGAUAAGUAGUGUGAAUUGCAGAAUUCAGUGAAUCAUCGAAUCUUUGAACGCACAUUGCGCCCUUUGGUAUUCCUUAGGGCACGCCUGUUCGAGCGUCAUUUAAACCUUCAAGCUCAGCUUGGUGUUGGGUGACUGUCCGCUUCACCGCGGACUCGCCUCAAAAUUAUUGGCGGCCGGUACAUUGGCUUCGAGCGCAGCAGAAACGCGAACUCGGGCCCGUCGUAUUGGCUCCCAGAAGCUAUCUUCACAAUUUUGACCUCGGAUCAGGUAGGGAUACCCGCUGAACUUAAGCAUAUCAAUAAGCGGAGGA
This 332-nucleotide unclassified non-coding RNA is filed under the name soil metagenome. RNAcentral's name for it is "partial contains 5.8S ribosomal RNA, internal transcribed spacer 2, and large subunit ribosomal RNA". The stretch from base 1 to 120 matches the Rfam family "5.8S ribosomal RNA", at positions 35 to 154 of the family's 154-position model. The record is from RNAcentral.